GACGGAGGGUGCUAGCGUUGCUCGGAAUCACUGGGCGUAAAGCGCACGUAGGCGGCUUUUUAAGUCAGGGGUGAAAUCCUGGAGCUCAACUCCAGAACUGCCUUUGAUACUGGGAAGCUUGAGUCCGGGAGAGGUGAGUGGAACUCCGAGUGUAGAGGUGAAAUUCGUAGAUAUUCGGAAGAACACCAGUGGCGAAGGCGGCUCACUGGCCCGGUACUGACGCUGAGGUGCGAAAGCGUGGGGAGCAAACAGG
This 253-nucleotide ribosomal RNA is filed under the name uncultured bacterium. Its description in RNAcentral is "partial 16S ribosomal RNA". It matches the Rfam family "Bacterial small subunit ribosomal RNA", at positions 524 to 776 of the family's 1533-position model. The record is from RNAcentral.